GGUGACUAGUGACAGAGAGAGGGAUGGGGUGACUAGUGACAGAGUGAGGCAGCGGGUGACACAGUGACAGAGGUAGGGAGGGAGUGACUAGUGACAGAGAGAGGGAUGGGGUGACUAGUGACACUCUGUCACUAGUCACUAUCUCCCUCUGUCACUAGUCACUCCCUCACUCUGUCACCAGUCAUCCCCUCACUCUGUCACUAGUCACCCCCUCUCCCUCCCUCUGUCACUAGUCACCCCCUCUCCCUCCCUCUGUCACUAAUCACCCACUCCCUCACUCUGUCACCAAUCACCCCAACUCACUGUGUCUGCCCCUCACUCUGCCAC
Non-coding RNA from Pelobates cultripes (western spadefoot toad), 327 nucleotides. NCBI's taxonomy places the organism in Eukaryota, Metazoa, Chordata, Amphibia, Anura, Pelobatidae. The record is from the annotation of a GenBank genome assembly.